GGUUAACCGAAUAGGGGAGCCGGAGGGAAACCGAGUCUUAAUUGGGCGUUAAGUUGCAGGGUAUAGACCCGAAACCCGGUGAUCUAGCCAUGGGCAGGUUGAAGGUUGGGUAACACUAACUGGAGGACCGAACCGACUAAUGUUGAAAAAUUAGCGGAUGACCUGUGGCUGGGGGUGAAAGGCCAAUCAAACCGGGAGAUAGCUGGUUCUCCCCGAAAGCUAUUUAGGUAGCGCCUCGUGAAUUCAUCUCCGGGGGUAGAGCACUGUUUCGGCUAGGGGGCCAUCCCGGCUUACCAACCCGAUGCAAACUGCGAAUACCGGAGAAUGUUAUCACGGGAGACACACGGCGGGUGCUAACGUCCGUCGUGAAGAGGGAAACAACCCAGACCGCCAGCUAAGGUCCCAAAGUCAUGGUUAAGUGGGAAACGAUGUGGGAAGGCCCAGACAGCCAGGAUGUUGGCUUAGAAGCAGCCAUCAUUUAAAGAAAGCGUAAUAGCUCACUGGUCGAGUCGGCCUGCGCGGAAGAUGUAACGGGGCUAAACCAUGCACCGAAGCUGCGGCAGCGACACUGAGGUGUUGUUGGGUAGGGGAGCGUUCUGUAAGCCUGUGAAGGUGUGUCGUGAGGCAUGCUGGAGGUAUCAGAAGUGCGAAUGCUGACAUAAGUAACGAUAAAGCGGGUGAAAAGCCCGCUCGCCGGAAGACCAAGGGUUCCUGUCCAACGUUAAUCGGGGCAGGGUGAGUCGACCCCUAAGGCGAGGCCGAAAGGCGUAGUCGAUGGGAAACGGGUUAAUAUUCCCGUACUUGGUGUUACUGCGAAGGGGGGACGGAGAAGGCUAUGUUGGCCGGGCGACGGUUGUCCCGGUUUAAGCGUGUAGGCUGGUUUUCCAGGCAAAUCCGGAAAAUCAAGGCUGAGGCGUGACGACGAGGCACUACGGUGCUGAAGCAACAAAUGCCCUGCUUCCAGGAAAAGCCUCUAAGCAUCAGGUAACAUCAAAUCGUACCCCAAACCGACACAGGUGGUCAGGUAGAGAAUACCAAGGCGCUUGAGAGAACUCGGGUGAAGGAACUAGGCAAAAUGGUGCCGUAACUUCGGGAGAAGGCACGCUGACACGUAGGUGAAGUGAUUUACUCAUGGAGCUGAAGUCAGUCGAAGAUACCAGCUGGCUGCAACUGUUUAUUAAAAACACAGCACUGUGCAAACACGAAAGUGGACGUAUACGGUGUGACGCCUGCCCGGUGCCGGAAGGUUAAUUGAUGGGGUCAGCGCAAGCGAAGCUCCUGAUCGAAGCCCCGGUAAACGGCGGCCGUAACUAUAACGGUCCUAAGGUAGCGAAAUUCCUUGUCGGGUAAGUUCCGACCUGCACGAAUGGCGUAAUGAUGGCCAGGCUGUCUCCACCCGAGACUCAGUGAAAUUGAACUCGCUGUGAAGAUGCAGUGUACCCGCGGCAAGACGGAAAGACCCCGUGAACCUUUACUAUAGCUUGACACUGAACAUUGAGCCUUGAUGUGUAGGAUAGGUGGGAGGCUUUGAAGUGUGGACGCCAGUCUGCAUGGAGCCGACCUUGAAAUACCACCCUUUAAUGUUUGAUGUUCUAACGUGGACCCGUAAUCCGGGUUGCGGACAGUGUCUGGUGGGUAGUUUGACUGGGGCGGUCUCCUCCUAAAGAGUAACGGAGGAGCACGAAGGUUGGCUAAUCCUGGUCGGACAUCAGGAGGUUAGUGCAAUGGCAUAAGCCAGCUUGACUGCGAGCGUGACGGCGCGAGCAGGUGCGAAAGCAGGUCAUAGUGAUCCGGUGGUUCUGAAUGGAAGGGCCAUCGCUCAACGGAUAAAAGGUACUCCGGGGAUAACAGGCUGAUACCGCCCAAGAGUUCAUAUCGACGGCGGUGUUUGGCACCUCGAUGUCGGCUCAUCACAUCCUGGGGCUGAAGUAGGUCCCAAGGGUAUGGCUGUUCGCCAUUUAAAGUGGUACGCGAGCUGGGUUUAGAACGUCGUGAGACAGUUCGGUCCCUAUCUGCCGUGGGCGCUGGAGAACUGAGGGGGGCUGCUCCUAGUACGAGAGGACCGGAGUGGACGCAUCACUGGUGUUCGGGUUGUCAUGCCAAUGGCACUGCCCGGUAGCUAAAUGCGGAAGAGAUAAGUGCUGAAAGCAUCUAAGCACGAAACUUGCCCCGAGAUGAGUUCUCCCUGAGACUUUAGGUCUCCUGAAGGAACGUUGAAGACGACGACGUUGAUAGGCCGGGUGUGUAAGCGCAGCGAUGCGUUGAGCUAACCGGUACUAAUGAACCGUGAGGCUUAACCUUACAACGCCGAAG
This 2313-nucleotide ribosomal RNA is filed under the name Salmonella enterica subsp. enterica serovar Bovismorbificans. RNAcentral's name for it is "partial 23S ribosomal RNA". It matches the Rfam family "Bacterial large subunit ribosomal RNA", at positions 644 to 2925 of the family's 2925-position model. Lineage: Bacteria; Pseudomonadati; Pseudomonadota; Gammaproteobacteria; Enterobacterales; Enterobacteriaceae. The record is from RNAcentral.